RNAcentral lists this long non-coding RNA (248 nucleotides) under Chinchilla lanigera (long-tailed chinchilla). RNAcentral's name for it is "lncRNA (ENSCLAG00000027482.1)". Lineage: Eukaryota; Metazoa; Chordata; Mammalia; Rodentia; Chinchillidae. The record is from RNAcentral.
CAAGGUCUCAAUAGAGAUAAAAGAAACAUAAAUGCUUCAUCGUGGAUCCUGUCUCAACACUGCUGAAAACUGAUCACUGUCUGCCGGCACAGCCAGAGAUUCAGUCUCAUCAAUAGCUCCAAUGUCCUGGGAUUUUCCAUUCUUCUCAUUAUGGAGGCACCCGCAUAUAUUGUAGUCCUUUAAAAUAAAAAAAGAGGUCUCAGAGAAAUGCUCAUGGAAGCAGAAGACUGUAAGCAAGAGGCUGCCUG